This 1666-nucleotide long non-coding RNA is filed under the name Vigna radiata. RNAcentral describes it as "long non-coding RNA (VRAD_LNC002270)". Lineage: Eukaryota; Viridiplantae; Streptophyta; Magnoliopsida; Fabales; Fabaceae. The record is from RNAcentral.
AUUUUGUCAGUAAAUUAUGUUGUUAAUCUAUUUUAUUACAAAUGAAUUUUACUUUUAAUAAAAUGAGUAAUAAAUUUUUCAUGGAAUGUGAUAAUAAAUUUUUAUAUAUUAAGAGGAGGAGGAGGGACGACGAAUGUACAGAUGUACUUUUGAUAGAGACAUGUCAUUAGAAGAGAAAGAGAAGAAGAAAGAUGAGUUAGAAGUGACAACAUCGAAUGUGACGACAAUAACGAAAGAGAGAGGGAAAGGAAGAAGAUAUGAGAAAGAACAAGAUAAAGAAGAAAAAAAAAAGAAAAAAUGAAGAAAAAGUGGAAGAUCCCGUCAUGACAUUUACCAACAAAUUUUAGUGAUGAUAAAAAAACAUUAGAGUCAUUUGCCAAUAAAGAAAACAAGAAGUUGCAAAGCAUAAAACUAUGAAUGAAAUGUUUAAAGAUAAAGAGUUGGUGAUUCUAGACAUUUGCAAAUGCAUAUAUGGUAGUACUUCAUUCAUUUUGGUACUUGUUUGUCCACAUGCUGAAAUUUGUUAAUGAAUAUGGAAAAGAUUUAAAGCCUCUACUUAUCAAGAAGAUAGAGUAUCUUAUUUGAAAAAGAUGUUAAUAAUAUUCUAGUUUGGAGAAAUAUAAGGUUGAGUAGGAGAAAUUAGAAGAUACUUUGUUGCGGUUAUGGAGUCGAACUAUCACCUAACACCUUCACAAUUUUAUGUGUGAUGGUUAGAUGAAAAAAAGAAAGUUUCUUACCAACUUCUUUUUAUGAAUAGUCCAAAUUGAAUAAUUUCUUAAAAUAUAUUCAUACUAGUAAUGUGAUCAAGGAUGUCAACGGUGUUGUUAGCUCAGCAGGCUUUUACCAAAAGGAAAAGAGAAAAAAGAAUGAUGUGAACUGCAUGUUAUUGCAUCCUAAAAUAGCUUCGCUAUUUUCAUAGACAUGUUAUGUUACUGAACAUAAUUCAUCAAGAAAUAAAAUAAGUAUCAAAUGUAUAUUUUGGGAUAUGUGGAAGAAAAUGAAAAAUUGACAAUCAUCUAAAUAAAUUCAGAAAUGAACCAAGGUUCACACAAUAUAUCAAUUGUUGGACUCCAGAUAACCACAUCAGAUAUUUGUAUACUAACAUAUAUCAUGCUAUCUGUGUCUAUUGUUACUGGUAUACAUAACAUUGAAAAAAAUUGCAAAUAGAUCCUCUCAAGAAUAUAGUAAUAUAAAAGUACAACAACCAACAGCAAGAAACCAGACAUUGUGCUUGCAUAUGUUCUACAUAAGGCGGAAUAUGAAAACAAGUCCAACAAAUUGUUAAAAUAUAAACAAAACAAAUAUUUUUCAGUUAUAGCUUAGAUCAGUAUAAAAACUUUUGUAUUCAGUCAUUUUGAGGUUGAAUAAAAUAGUUGAGAGUAUCAUUCAGUACCUUAGCGUGUAUUUUCCAUUCUUUGACAAUUGUCUUCAUCAUCUCUGGUGUGAGUUUCUGUCGGUGAUCGGUGGAGAAGGGUGGAACCCUAGCAGAGUCCUUGGUUUCGCGUCUCUCUCUCUAAGUCUCUCGAACAUUUCCAUUCUCAGAGCAUUCUCUCUCUAUCACGUGUUUUUGUUCCUAUCUUUUAACAUCAGAAAGUAAUAUUGGAAGAGUUUUUACGUUUCUAUCCUUGGGCCCUUUUCAAAUACAAAUUACAGUUCCUAUGCAGAU